UCCCCGCGUUGUAUGGCUUUUUAUUCCUACGUGAUCGUAACGCACGCUGAGCCUCAUGUAGGGAGGAAAGCCAUGCAACGACGGGUG
RNAcentral lists this microRNA precursor (87 nucleotides) under Petromyzon marinus (sea lamprey). Its description in RNAcentral is "microRNA pma-mir-135b precursor". Its record names the gene pma-mir-135b. It matches the Rfam family "mir-135 microRNA precursor family". Rfam says of the family: The hairpin precursors (represented here) are predicted based on base pairing and cross-species conservation -- their extents are not known. In this case the mature sequence is excised from the 5' arm of the hairpin. Lineage: Eukaryota; Metazoa; Chordata; Hyperoartia; Petromyzontiformes; Petromyzontidae. The record is from miRBase by way of RNAcentral.